This 348-nucleotide long non-coding RNA is filed under the name Bos indicus x Bos taurus (hybrid cattle). Its description in RNAcentral is "lncRNA (ENSBIXG00000017411.1)". The record is from RNAcentral. Lineage: Eukaryota; Metazoa; Chordata; Mammalia; Artiodactyla; Bovidae.
ACUCAGAGUCCUGGGCUUACGCAAUUGGUGAGAAAUGGAAGCCUGCUUGCUCUGGGUGCUCCUGCUCCAGGUUCAUCUCAGCAAUUUGCCUGACAGAGGUGCUGAUCUUAUCAUUUGUUUCCCCUCUGGAGUGUGAUUGUGAAUCGGGAUUGUGGUUUAACAAAAUGAAGAUUGGAGAGAAUUAAUAUUCCAUUGUUCAGUGGACAGAUUGACUGGGAGGAGAUGGAACGGUGGUCUGACAUAGAAUUGGAGGCAGCAUAAAAGGUUUAAUUCUUGUUUCAGUCCUGAGGGGGUAAGAUAUUUUCUUUGGUCUAUUUUUUUACAAUAAAGAAAAAAAACCUUUACUCA